RNAcentral lists this ribosomal RNA (931 nucleotides) under uncultured bacterium. RNAcentral describes it as "bacterial SSU rRNA". It matches the Rfam family "Bacterial small subunit ribosomal RNA", at positions 53 to 978 of the family's 1533-position model. The record is from RNAcentral.
ACAUGCAGUCGAGGGGCAGCAUGAACUUAGCUUGCUAAGUUUGAUGGCGACCGGCGCACGGGUGAGUAACACGUAUCCAACCUGCCGAUGACUCGGGGAUAGCCUUUCGAAAGAAAGAUUAAUACCCGAUGGCAUAGUUCUUCCGCAUGGUAGAACUAUUAAAGAAUUUCGGUCAUCGAUGGGGAUGCGUUCCAUUAGGUUGUUGGCGGGGUAACGGCCCACCAAGCCUUCGAUGGAUAGGGGUUCUGAGAGGAAGGUCCCCCACAUUGGAACUGAGACACGGUCCAAACUCCUACGGGAGGCAGCAGUGAGGAAUAUUGGUCAAUGGACGAGAGUCUGAACCAGCCAAGUAGCGUGAAGGAUGACUGCCCUAUGGGUUGUAAACUUCUUUUAUACGGGAAUAAAGUGAGGCACGUGUGCCUUUUUGUAUGUACCGUAUGAAUAAGGAUCGGCUAACUCCGUGCCAGCAGCCGCGGUAAUACGGAGGAUCCGAGCGUUAUCCGGAUUUAUUGGGCUUAAAGGGAGCGUAGGCGGACGCUUAAGUCAGUUGUGAAAGUUUGCGGCUCAACCGUAAAAUUGCAGUUGAUACUGGGUGUCUUGAGUACAGUAGAGGCAGGCGGAAUUCGUGGUGUAGCGGUGAAAUGCUUAGAUAUCACGAAGAACUCCGAUUGCGAAGGCAGCUUGCUGGACUGUAACUGACGCUGAUGCUCGAAAGUGUGGGUAUCGAACAGGAUUAGAUACCCUGGUAGUCCACACAGUAAACGAUGAAUACUCGCUGUUUGCGAUAUACAGUAAGCGGCCAAGCGAAAGCGUUAAGUAUUCCACCUGGGGAGUACGCCGGCAACGGUGAAACUCAAAGGAAUUGACGGGGGCCCGCACAAGCGGAGGAACAUGUGGUUUAAUUCGAUGAUACGCGAGGAACCUUACCCGG